Molecule: ribosomal RNA, 305 nt
Filed under: uncultured bacterium
Lineage: Bacteria
Description: bacterial SSU rRNA
Rfam family: Bacterial small subunit ribosomal RNA
Source: RNAcentral
UCCUACGGGGGGCAGCAGUGAGGAAUAUUGGUCAAUGGACGGAAGUCUGAACCAGCCAUGCCGCGUGCAGGAAGACGGCUCUAUGAGUUGUAAACUGCUUUUGUACAAGGGUAAACCUGAAUACGUGUAUUCAGCUGAAAGUACUGUACGAAUAAGGAUCGGCUAACUCCGUGCCAGCAGCCGCGGUAAUACGGAGGAUCCAAGCGUUAUCCGGAUUUAUUGGGUUUAAAGGGUGCGUAGGCGGAAUAUCAAGUCAGCGGUAAAAAUUCGGGGCUCAACCCCGUCGUGCCGUUGAAACUGAUGUU